GAUGAAGAACGUAGCGAAAUGCGAUAAGUAGUGUGAAUUGCAGAAUUCAGUGAAUCAUCGAAUCUUUGAACGCACAUUGCGCCCCUCGGUAUUCCGUGGGGCACGCCUGUUCGAGCGUCAUUUACACCCUCAAGCGCAGCUUGGUGUUGGGCGUCUGUCCCGCUCUCCGUAGCGCGGACUCGCCUCAAAGUCAUUGGCGGCGGUCGUGCCGGCUCCUCGCGCAGCACAUUUGCGCUUCUCGGAGGCCCGGCGGAUCGGCAUCCAGCAAGCUACUUUUUAUGACUUGACCUCGGAUCAGGUGAGGAUACCCGCUGAACUUAAGCAUAUCAAUAAGCGGAGGA
This 341-nucleotide unclassified non-coding RNA is filed under the name soil metagenome. RNAcentral describes it as "partial contains 5.8S ribosomal RNA, internal transcribed spacer 2, and large subunit ribosomal RNA". The stretch from base 1 to 120 matches the Rfam family "5.8S ribosomal RNA", at positions 35 to 154 of the family's 154-position model. The record is from RNAcentral.